RNAcentral lists this ribosomal RNA (301 nucleotides) under uncultured bacterium. Its description in RNAcentral is "partial 16S ribosomal RNA". It matches the Rfam family "Bacterial small subunit ribosomal RNA", at positions 509 to 807 of the family's 1533-position model. The record is from RNAcentral.
CAGUAGCCGCGGGAAUACGAAGGGGGCUAGCGUUGCUCGGAAUGACUGGGCGUAAAGGGCGCGUAGGCGGCGAUCAAAGUCAGGCGUGAAAUUCCUGGGCUCAACCUGGGGGCUGCGCUUGAUACUUGGUUGCUUGAGUGGGGAAGAGGGUCGUGGAAUUCCCAGUGUAGAGGUGAAAUUCGUAGAUAUUGGGAAGAACACCGGUGGCGAAGGCGGCGACCUGGUCCUUGACUGACGCUGAGGCGCGAAAGCGUGGGGAGCAAACAGGAUUAGAUACCCGCGUAGUCCCUGUCUCUUAUAC